GGCAUGUUAGGCUUGUUCCUGGGUUUAUGCAUGAAUUGGUUCUAUACUUGAUGACUUAGGUUUUUACGCGUUCAGUUCACAUGUGUGAUAUGUGAUUACGGCUGUAACAAACCUUUAGGCUUGAACGAUGUUAGUCCAUACCCCCAACCUAACCGUGGUUGUCAUACGAUCCUUUUAUUACCAAAUGUAUAUCCUUAAAUGUUUUAUAAACUGAUUUUUUUUCACCUGUCUUUUCGCAUGACCACAUAUGUUGUCAAUCCAAACAUUUCUCAUAUUGACACAUGACCACCUCGACAUUUCAUAGUGUAUGUAUAUAUCUUUUUAUAUUCGCCAGGCCUAUACUCUUUUCAAUUUUUAGCAACACCCAACAACGGUGCUGAAGAAAAUUUUUAUGCAUAUACAUACAAAAUUCCUAUGCAUCCUGAGUAUUCUAUCCUAAGAAGAAUUUCUAUGUAACGCAUCAUGAUCAACACGGAUAGCGCAUUCCAUCAUGAGCAGAAGGUGGCUAGAGAAAAUUUUUAUGUAUAUAUAUACAAAAUUUAUGUUUCACAGCAUGCAUACAAAAGUUUCUAUGCAUAUUUUAAGAUGACUUGAAUGCAGGUUCUAUGCGUCAUGAUGAGAAACAAGCUAGGCCUGAUCCAGUAGAGGCACGCGGUGUGGACCUGCCGAAGUACACAUUGCAUGCUUGUAUGUAUUGGAUGGUUGGAAGGAUUCCUCUAUUUUUGGUGUGAGGUCAAUGGUGGCUCGGACAUCAUAGGACAUGACUUGCGACGUUCACAACUUCCUUAGUUUGUGAUGGUGGCGUAGUGUGAUAUUCGAUAUAGUUGAUGGAUUAAUGUAAAAAGUUAGUUUUUCAUAUGUUGUGUUUAUAUGCUUGGAUAAUAUGAGCGAAAGUAUUGAUUUCUAUGUAACCUCUGUUGGGUUUCAAUAUUUGGUUAACUGAGUGUCUAUGCAUGUUGUGAGUUGGGAACA
Sorghum bicolor (sorghum) is the source of this 972-nucleotide long non-coding RNA. RefSeq lists it as uncharacterized. The transcript has 2 exons. NCBI's taxonomy places the organism in Eukaryota, Viridiplantae, Streptophyta, Magnoliopsida, Poales, Poaceae. The record is from RefSeq and is a predicted model, not a curated record.